This 397-nucleotide ribosomal RNA is filed under the name Pseudochattonella sp. RNAcentral describes it as "partial small subunit ribosomal RNA". It matches the Rfam family "Eukaryotic small subunit ribosomal RNA", at positions 582 to 975 of the family's 1831-position model. Lineage: Eukaryota; Dictyochophyceae; Florenciellales. The record is from RNAcentral.
AUUCCAGCUCCAAUAGCGUAUAUUAAAGUUGUUGCAGUUAAAAAGCUCGUAGUUGGAUUUCUGGCGUCGCCGCCCGGUCGGCCUCGAAAGGGGUUCGCACUCGUUGGCGCGCGUCGCCAUCCUCGGGGGAAGGCCGCCUGGCAUUAAGUUGUCGGGCGGUCGACGCUCGUCGUUUACUGUGAACAAAUUAGAGUGUUCAAAGCAGGCUUAGGCCGUUGAAUACAUUAGCAUGGAAUAAUGAGAUAGGACUUUGGUGGUCUAUUUUGUUGGUUUGCACGCCGAAGUAAUGAUUAAUAGGGGCGGUUGGGGGUAUUCGUAUUCAAUUGUCAGAGGUGAAAUUCUUGGAUUUAUGGAAGACGAACUACUGCGAAAGCAUUUACCAAGGAUGUUUUCAUCG